UUGGCUCAUUACAACAGCCGUUGUUUCUUGGAUCUUACUUUACUUGGAUAACUGUGGUAAUUCUAGAGCUAAUACAUGCAACUAAGCUCCGACCUCAGGGAAGGAGCGCAUUUAUUAGACCAAGACCAAUCAGACUCGUCUGAAACUUGGUGACUCUGAAUAACUUUGCUGAUCACACGGUCCUAGCACCGGUGACAUAUCUUUCAAGUGUCUGCCCUAUCAACUUUCGAUGGUAGUUUAUGUGCCUACCAUGGUUGUAACGGGUAACGGAA
Molecule: ribosomal RNA, 272 nt
Filed under: Epsilonematidae sp. 603_6-1500
Lineage: Eukaryota; Metazoa; Nematoda; Chromadorea; Desmodorida; Epsilonematidae
Description: partial 18S ribosomal RNA
Rfam family: Eukaryotic small subunit ribosomal RNA
Source: RNAcentral